RNAcentral lists this ribosomal RNA (449 nucleotides) under uncultured bacterium. RNAcentral's name for it is "bacterial SSU rRNA". It matches the Rfam family "Bacterial small subunit ribosomal RNA", at positions 329 to 794 of the family's 1533-position model. The record is from RNAcentral.
GCCCAGACUCCUACGGGAGGCAGCAGUGGGGAAUAUUGCACAAUGGGGGAAACCCUGAUGCAGCGACGCCGCGUGAGCGAUGAAGUAUUUCGGUAUGUAAAGCUCUAUCAGCAGGGAAGAAGAUGACGGUACCUGACUAAGAAGCCCCGGCUAACUACGUGCCAGCAGCCGCGGUAAUACGUAGGGGGCAAGCGUUAUCCGGAUUUACUGGGUGUAAAGGGAGCGUAGACGGCGAUGCAAGCCAGAUGUGAAAGCCCGGGGCUCAACCCCGGGACUGCAUUUGGAACUGUGUGGCUGGAGUGUCGGAGAGGCAGGCGGAAUUCCUAGUGUAGCGGUGAAAUGCGUAGAUAUUAGGAGGAACACCAGUGGCGAAGGCGGCCUGCUGGACGAUGACUGACGUUGAGGCUCGAAAGCGUGGGGAGCAAACAGGAUUAGAUACCCCAGUAUGC